Molecule: ribosomal RNA, 495 nt
Filed under: uncultured bacterium
Lineage: Bacteria
Description: partial 16S ribosomal RNA
Rfam family: Bacterial small subunit ribosomal RNA
Source: RNAcentral
UGAACGCUGGCGGCGUGCCUAAUACAUGCAAGUCGAGCGAACGGACGAGAAGCUUGCUUCUCUGAUGUUAGCGGCGGACGGGUGAGUAACACGUGGAUAACCUACCUAUAAGGCUGGGAUAACUUCGGGAAACCGGAGCUAAUACCGGAUAAUAUUUUGAACCGCAUGGUUCAAAAGUGAAAGACGGUCUUGCUGUCACUUAUAGAUGGAUCCGCGCUGCAUUAGCUAGUUGGUAAGGUAACGGCUUACCAAGGCAACGAUGCAUAGCCGACCUGAGAGGGUGAUCGGCCACACUGGAACUGAGACACGGUCCAGACUCCUACGGGAGGCAGCAGUAGGGAAUCUUCCGCAAUGGGCGAAAGCCUGACGGAGCAACGCCGCGUGAGCGAUGAAGGUCUUCGGAUCGUAAAACUCUGUUAUUAGGGAAGAACAUAUGUGUAAGUAACUGUGCACAUCUUGACGGUACCUAAUCAGAAAGCCACGGCUAACUACGUG